Molecule: non-coding RNA, 1967 nt
Organism: Misgurnus anguillicaudatus (oriental weatherfish)
Lineage: Eukaryota; Metazoa; Chordata; Actinopteri; Cypriniformes; Cobitidae
Source: RefSeq, a predicted model, not a curated record
AAACUUUAAAGAGAGAAGUUGAAAAUUAGCAAUGCAUCACCAAAAAAAAAAAAAUCCAAUACUGUAGUACAGUGAAUAAAAGUCAUGUAUCAACAGUCUUUACAACAUGGACAGUUAAACCUUUUGUAAUUUAAUUAAAACAACAAAAGAGAAAACAAACAAGCAGAUUGAGAUGUCCUUCAACGAUGCUUGAUGACGUGGCAACCGAGACAUGCAGCAUUCUAGGACGCAGCCUUAUUAAAAAUAAAAAAAAAUGGACGCAGCCUUAUUUAUUUUUAUUUUAUAUAUGUAUAAUGUACCCCCUGACUGAACUUGUAUUUCUUAUUAUUUUAAAAAAAUAUAUUAAAAAUAUUUUUAAAAGAACGCAGCUGUGCGUUUGAGAAACGACCGGAAACGACUUAUAUGUCGCGAGGCCAUCACGUGACCACAAUAUUUACCAGAAGACCGUUAUUUGCUCGAGUUCCCUCAACUUUUUUGUCGCAAAUAACAUUAUUAAUAACCUGUAAAUAAUAAAAUUUGUACACAUUACGUUCCUUUUCACGUUGUAAUAGUAUGUUUUUGGUUUAACAGUCGGCUUUAAGUUAGUUUUUCUGUCAGUUUGAUCGUCAAAAUCUUGAAAGUUAUCUACAGCCACACAUCCACUGUAUACCAAGUUAUGAUGAUCAAUUAUGAGAAUGCAAAAGGAUUUAUAGAUCAGUAAACAAUCAACAAAAAGAUGGGUGCUCAUGGUGGCCUCCAAAUAAAUACAUGGACAGGCUGCUAAAGAGGGUCAGGAUGAUGGAGAUGCAAGAGCCAAAGACAGCACGGACCAAACACCAGGCCAGAAUUCUGCAUGAGUCAGUUUCCAGCCUUUUUCACAAAGUUGCCGACAACUGGAAGAAUGUCCCAAAUUGCUGAAAAAAGAAAUUCAAUUGAGUAAUUUUCACUCUAGAGACCCUGGGGUGACCACCAAGGACGAAUGAAAACUCCAGUGAGUGUCUCUAAGGUAGAUCCUAAUGCAGUUGGAUGGAAUGUUGAUCCGCCUAACAUGCAAGAUUUUCUGUACCGAGAACUUUGGAUGACCAUCAAGACAAGCACUCGUUUUGAGUCCUGAGACCCUGGGGUGACCACCGUGAACAAAUACUGUACAGACUGCAAAAAGGCAGUCUUGACGGUUCUAGGAUGAAUGCAAAUAAAGACUGACCACCUGACUUCAGCGGUCCAGUCUCUUGUGGGAAGCAGGUGUUUGUUACCCCAAAUACGGAUGAAGAGUGACGAAGAGGAUGAUGACUUUUUUCUCAAACAUCAUCUGAAGAUCUUGACAGGCUGGAGACAAAAUUAACAGACUGAGGGUUUAUACAAAGAAUCUUACUCAGCCAAUAUUAAAGAUAAGAUAUUUUUACAAAAUGUUCUUUUCAUUGUUUAGGAUGAUUUUAUGUAGAAAACAAUACAUCACAAAAAAGACUUUAGCUGGGUUUUCACAGGCAGUGCCUUACACACACACUAACCACAAUUAUAAACGCAACACUAACACAGAUUUAGACAGAUUUGUGAAUAAUAUUUGAGAGAAAUAGGCCUUUUGGGGACAUAGAAAAUAUUAUGGGGGCAAAAAAAUUUUUUAACAAGUGCAAUACAAAUAUCAACCAUAAUACUGAUCGUUUUAAAAAAAAGUAAGUCACUAUAUCUUUCUAGAAUCUUACACAAGACUCAGUUACAUGAACGAUCAAAAUAAAUUAACGUCAGACAGGUGGGCGAAAUAUCAAUAUUAAAGCAUGAAUAACUGUUAUCAACCCAAUUUCAAGGUAUUAUUUAAAUGAUCCCACACCAAACAGUUUAUUAUUUAAAUGCAUUAUUACUACAUACCUUAAGCAUGUGUUCCACGCCUUUCUUCUUCUUGGCGUUGCGAGGUCAAGCGGAUGUUGUUAUGUAGAAUCACGACCUUGACGUAAAGACGCACAUCCGUAAUUUAUUUAACAAUGAUAACACUU